This 448-nucleotide ribosomal RNA is filed under the name uncultured Chloroflexota bacterium. Its description in RNAcentral is "bacterial SSU rRNA". It matches the Rfam family "Bacterial small subunit ribosomal RNA", at positions 9 to 490 of the family's 1533-position model. RNAcentral also lists the same sequence under 1 other name. The record is from RNAcentral. Lineage: Bacteria; Bacillati; Chloroflexota.
GAGUUUGAUCCUGGCUCAGGACGAACGCUGGCGGCGUGCCUAAUGCAUGCAAGUCGCACGCGGGGGAGCUUGCUCCGCCGCGUGGCGCACGGCUGAGGACCACGUGGGUACCAACCCCGGAGUGGGGGAUACCCCAUCGAAAGAUGGGACAAUCCCGCAUACGAUCGGCAACGAUGAAAGCGGCAACGCGCUCCGGGACGGGCCUGCGGCCCAUCAGGUAGUUGGUGUGGUAACGGCGCACCAAGCCAGUGACGGGUCCCUGGUCUGAGAGGACGACCAGGCAGACUGGGACUGAGACACGGCCCAGACUCCUACGGGAGGCAGCAGCAAGGAAUUUUCCCCAAUGGGCUCACGCCUGAGGGAGCAACGCCGCGUGCAGGACGACGGCCUUCGGGUUGUAACUGCUUUUAGGGGGUAAGGACCGACGACGGUACCCCCUCGAACUAAG